UCCUUUUCUGUUCUAUUUUUCUCUCUCUAGAGGAGGACAAAGUUUCAAAGGUCUCGAUGGCCCUCUAGCGAUCUCGAAGAGCCGUCGGUGGCUUUCUUGAUCUUUUUAUCUCCUUCCAUCUUACCUCUCUAUUCUUCUCCCUCCUCUCGUCUUUGCUAAUGUUUUAUUGCCAAAACUUUACUGAUUGGCAGUCGGGAGCGUUCAGCAAAAUUUGUGUGGUAGAAGAUGCAUCUGACCUUGCUAAAUGGGCAAGAUCGGUAGUAAAAUACAUUUCUCUCUGCGUUGUAGAGGCCCCCAUGGGCAGUCAGUACGUGGUCAUCUUCCUGGCAUAUGCACUUCCCUUACCAUCACCUUUUUCUUAUAGUCAGUGUUCACCCCAGCAUAGUUGAUCCUUCUAAUUUCAGAUACAGGGAGGAAUGUCAUAAAUCUACGUUGCUGCUCCUUGGGGGAAUCAUUGAGAAUUAUCAUUAUGGUUCUAAGAUCCAUCUUCCUUGAUAAACUAAUUAACACUAUGGUAGUUGUGAACCAUGUCUGCACCGAAGCAAAG
RNAcentral lists this long non-coding RNA (547 nucleotides) under Elaeis guineensis (African oil palm). RNAcentral's name for it is "long non-coding RNA (EGUI_LNC075419)". Lineage: Eukaryota; Viridiplantae; Streptophyta; Magnoliopsida; Arecales; Arecaceae. The record is from RNAcentral.